AAUGUGCCUAGGAGUGCUCUGUGGGUUUUUCCAAGGACAAAGGCCAUGUCCCUUCCUUGGACAGCUUUGCUCUGAGAUAGAGGCUGGUUUUUCAUUCCCCCCUUUGUCUGGAAACUUGGGAACCAAUCAUGGUUCCGUCAGUUGUGGGCCUAUUUGGGCAGGCUCUACAUCUUGGUAAACAGUAAUCCUCAGGGGACAGUCUUCAACUUCCCAGACUCACUUAAAAUUGGCCUUCUAGAUCCAACCUGACUCGAUUUACCUAUCUACACUGCCUAUCCAUUUCUGGCUUUAUUUCCCCUAAUUUUAGAAACUUUAUUGCUGUAAGGAGAAGGGGUG
Molecule: long non-coding RNA, 336 nt
Filed under: Marmota monax (woodchuck)
Lineage: Eukaryota; Metazoa; Chordata; Mammalia; Rodentia; Sciuridae
Source: RNAcentral